AAAGCGUGCGCAGGCGGUUUUGUAAGACUGUCGUGAAAUCCCCGGGCUCAACCUGGGAAUGGCGAUGGUGACUGCAAGGCUAGAGUUUGGCAGAGGGGGGUAGAAUUCCACGUGUAGCAGUGAAAUGCGUAGAUAUGUGGAGGAACACCGAUGGCGAAGGCAAUCCCCUGGGCCUGCACUGACGCUCAUGCACGAAAGCGUGGGGAGCAAACAGGAUUAGAUACCCUGGU
Molecule: ribosomal RNA, 230 nt
Filed under: uncultured bacterium
Lineage: Bacteria
Description: partial 16S ribosomal RNA
Rfam family: Bacterial small subunit ribosomal RNA
Source: RNAcentral